UGUCCCCGCCAUCAACCACGGUGCAGAGGCUGGGCCAGGCGUCUGAUUCCAGGGUCACAGCCAGGGCAAGAACAGUGGUCAUAGAAUCUUCCCUUCAAGGCUCCCUCUCCUCUAGGGGCCUUCGCCUUCUGAGAAGUUAAACUUGCCCCCCUCAGGUCACAGGCCCCCCAAGGCGUGUGUAUACGAACUAUAAAGUGCCUCCCCUCCCCCGCCGCCUCCUCCUCCUCCUCCCCCUCCCCCUCGGGGGAGGCCUCGGGUUCUGAUGAAACAGGACGUGGCACAGGAUGGACAGCAGACCCCGGUUUGAAUCCCGGCUCUGCCACUGACCAGCGCUGUGACCAUCAGCCAGUUACUUCUCUCCAGCCUCACUGAUGCUAAAUGACAGCAGUAAGACAGCUGCCUCCCCGGAUGCCCUGGGGACAAAACAGCCAGACUUCCUUACCCUGGAUCUCUCUGAACGGCUCAGGGCGGGAGGAACGUUCAGCAUCACUCACUAAGGCUCACAUCUGUCCAGGCGUCACCCAAACCCACCGCCACAGUUACCAAAUUUGCGGAUUCCUGGGCCUCGGUCCAGACCUACAGAAUCAGCAUCUCUGGGGGUGCAGCCCAGGAAUCUGCAUUCUCCAAAGCACCCAGCCUAGUCAGGUCUGGAGAAAGCUGGAGCCCCCAAGCAGCCAGGCAGGAGAGCAGGUGCGAGGAGCAGGCGGGACGGGAGGACACAGACAGGACAACAGAGGAGAAAGGAGACCAGGUGAGGUGGGACGUGGGGCCUGGGGAUGGCUCCCGCCAGGGAUCGGCUCCAGCAGUGUCCCACCCCAACGCGCAGGCAGCGGGGGCUGGGAGUCCUAGCUGCUGGGGGGCCAGGGGCAGGGGACCAGCCAGCCCCGCUCAGAGAAGGGGAACAGUGCCUAGAGGACAAGGACUGUGUCUCAGGCAUCCCCCCAUAUGCCAGGGGCCGGCGAGGGGCUGGUGACACAGGAGGUCCUUGGCAA
This is a long non-coding RNA of Leopardus geoffroyi (Geoffroy's cat), 992 nucleotides long. RefSeq lists it as uncharacterized. Lineage: Eukaryota; Metazoa; Chordata; Mammalia; Carnivora; Felidae. The record is from RefSeq and is a predicted model, not a curated record. The transcript is spliced from 3 exons.